This 356-nucleotide long non-coding RNA is filed under the name Gopherus agassizii (Agassiz's desert tortoise). RNAcentral's name for it is "lncRNA (ENSGAGG00000012649.1)". Lineage: Eukaryota; Metazoa; Chordata; Testudines; Testudinidae. The record is from RNAcentral.
AGAACAUCCCCUCUUGCAUUACAGAUAUUAACGAGUGUCUGGGGUGGAACCCACCAAACUGCAGCCUCGACGCAAACUGCAACAACGCGCCUGGGAGUUACUACUGCACCUGCAGGGAUGGCUACGAGCCCAGCUCUGGGAAAGCCAGCUUCACACACACAAGUGAGAACAGCUGCCAGGACAUUGACGAGUGCAAGAAGACCCCAGAUAUCUGCGGCCCCAAGGCCACGUGUAUCAACACCUACGGAAGCUACCUGUGUGAGUGCCAGGCCGGCUACGUCCCCUCCAACAGGAACACGACCCUGUGCCAAGUCCCCAGCAUUAACUCCAGCGCUGAGUUCGAGGAAAUCAAAAAG